This 237-nucleotide long non-coding RNA is filed under the name Panax ginseng (ginseng). RNAcentral describes it as "long non-coding RNA (PGIN_LNC009777)". Lineage: Eukaryota; Viridiplantae; Streptophyta; Magnoliopsida; Apiales; Araliaceae. The record is from RNAcentral.
UCUAAGCCCUGCACUUCAACCAAUCUAUUGGAAUCUGAAAGAUUCAAGCACCGCAAGCGUUUCAAGUGUGAUAGAUUUGGUAUUUUUUCCAUUGUUGUACAACGUCUUGCUGUAGCGUCUCUAGAUUAGGAGGAAGUUCCGGGAGUGACACAAGACUCUUGUAGUCAUUCAAGAAAAGGUUGGUUAGAUUGGAUAGUUGACAGAGGGUAGAAGGUAGGUUUCAGAAAUGGUUUCCAC